Molecule: ribosomal RNA, 253 nt
Filed under: uncultured bacterium
Lineage: Bacteria
Description: partial 16S ribosomal RNA
Rfam family: Bacterial small subunit ribosomal RNA
Source: RNAcentral
UACGUAGGGCGCAAGCGUUGUCCGGAAUUAUUGGGCGUAAAGAGCUCGUAGGCGGUUUGUCACGUCGGAUGUGAAAGCCCGGGGCUUAACCCCGGGUCUGCAUUCGAUACGGGCAGACUAGAGUGUGGUAGGGGAGAUCGGAAUUCCUGGUGUAGCGGUGAAAUGCGCAGAUAUCAGGAGGAACACCGGUGGCGAAGGCGGAUCUCUGGGCCGAUACUGACGCUGAGGAGCGAAAGCAUGGGUAGCGAACAGG